UGGGGCUUCAGAAGCCAACACGAUGGUUUUCGGGCUCACAUCCCAAAGGCUGCUCUUCCUUUUAGCACCUGGGACCUACCAGGAACCUCAACCUCUAACAACAUUGGUCCCCGUUACCGUGGAGUUUGCGCCCAGCGUUCGCUGGAGGGCCGUUUGAAGAAUGAUUGUUGUCGUAAAGGCCUUUGAUAAUAAUAGAUACUGUUUACCCAGUGCUUGAUGCCAGGCAUUGCUACAAACACUGCGUACACAUUAUUCUAUUUAAUCUUCAUAACCCAGUGAGGAUAUCAACCAGGAUAUGGCAUUGCAUUGGAUCCCAACCAGGAUAUGACGUUACAUUGGAUCCCAACCAGGAUAUGGCAUUGCACUGGAUCCCAACCAGGAUAUGGCAUUGCACUGGAUCCCAACCAGGAUAUGGCAUUGCGUUGGAUCCCAACCAGGUUAUGGCAUUACAUUGGAUCCCAACCAGGUUAUGGCAUUGCAUUGGAUCCCAACCAGGAUAUGACAUUGCAUUUACUCAUCACGCCUCCUUAGGUUCCUCUUGGCUGUGACGGUUUCUCAGACUAUCCUUGUUUUUUAGGACCUUGACAGUUUUGAGGCAUACUGGAGAGCUCAACGUGGGCGUUUCUUUCUGUAACAAGUAUGCAUCAUGGCUGGCUGACUCCUCCCCAUAACAAGCAGUUUAAAGGUG
This 688-nucleotide long non-coding RNA is filed under the name Homo sapiens (human). Its description in RNAcentral is "HSALNT0324088". Lineage: Eukaryota; Metazoa; Chordata; Mammalia; Primates; Hominidae. The record is from RNAcentral.